RNAcentral lists this ribosomal RNA (420 nucleotides) under bacterium. RNAcentral's name for it is "partial 16S ribosomal RNA". It matches the Rfam family "Bacterial small subunit ribosomal RNA", at positions 355 to 776 of the family's 1533-position model. The record is from RNAcentral.
UGGGGGAUAUUGCACAAUGGGCGAAAGCCUGAUGCAGCGACGCCGCGUGGGGGAUGAAGGCUUUCGGGUUGUAAACCUCUUUCGCUAUCGAACAAGGCCCGCUUAGGGUGGGUUGAUGGUAGGUGGAGAAGCAGCGCCGGCUAACUACGUGCCAGCAGCCGCGGUAAUACGUAGGGCGCGAGCGUUGUCCGGAAUUAUUGGGCGUAAAGGGCUUGUAGGCGGCUUGUUGCGCCUGCUGUGAAAACGCGGGGCUUAACUGUGCGCGUGCAGUGGGUACGGGCAGGCUUGAGUGCGGUAGGGGGGACUGGAAUUCCAGGUGUAGCGGUGGAAUGCGCAGAUAUCUGGAGGAACACCGAUGGCGAAGGCAGGGCACUGGGCCAUUACUGACGCUGAGGAGCGAAAGCAUGGGUAGCGAACAGG